This is a long non-coding RNA of Asparagus officinalis (garden asparagus), 623 nucleotides long. RefSeq lists it as uncharacterized. Lineage: Eukaryota; Viridiplantae; Streptophyta; Magnoliopsida; Asparagales; Asparagaceae. The transcript is spliced from 2 exons. The record is from RefSeq and is a predicted model, not a curated record.
GCCUCAUCUCGGGUAAAGCCCACCCACACUCAAUUCUUUGAAGUCCCUCAGCUUAAACCCUAACCCUAUUUCUCUCUCUCUCUUUCUCCCAAACUCCCACUCCCUCCCACCUCCUCCUCUCUCAAACAUCAAGAUCAAAGUGAUUAAACUCAGUCCCGACCUCGGUCUCAAACAUCAAGUGAUUAAACUGAUAAACUCUCCCGACUCUCCGCUCCGGUCUCCCCCAGCUCUUCGCCUCUUCCUGCUCCCGCCGCUAGCCACACCUCCGCUCCCGCGGCACCGCCGCCCAACGGCCAGCCUCUCUGGAUAAAAAAGGAUAGAUUUUUCUGGUGAAAGCUGAGAGAAUGAAGUCCUGGGCUGAGGAAAAACUGGCGAGCAAAUCUAUCUGCAACAAGGAGAAUAGCGAAGAAGAAAUGAGCAAAUGGUGAGGCCAAUCAGAAGCGAGCUGCAAGAACUGCAGAGGCAGCAGUUGUCAUUCAACUUGAGCACCUCCUCAAGCUUCAUCGUGUGGAUAAGAACCAUUUUGUGCAUCUCUUUUAGCUUUUCAUGAUAUUCGUUUUUCUCCUAAAUUCAUGCUUUCCAGGCUUUGCAGUAAUAUGAACGUCUUGAUUAUAUGUUUUUCA